Molecule: non-coding RNA, 502 nt
Organism: Notechis scutatus (mainland tiger snake)
Lineage: Eukaryota; Metazoa; Chordata; Lepidosauria; Squamata; Elapidae
Source: RefSeq, a predicted model, not a curated record
UGCUGGCUUUCACAUGUCAUUCCUCCAGGUUGCCAAAAAUUAAGCCACCUUUGACCCUUGUGCUCCUUAAAGCUUCAUAAAUAGCCCCAGCAAAGAACUGCUGAGUCCCAGUUCACCCAGCUGAGUUUCCUGCCUCUUGAACUGGUUGCUCUGAGCUUCAGCCAUGAAGGCUUUUCUCCUCCUUGUUGCCAUCUUCUUGUUUUCCCACCAGCUAGUCACAGCAGCUGAUGAAAGUGACCCUCUUGUGAUUGCUUGUAAAACAAAACGUGGCUCCUGUUGGGGAAAAUGUCCACCCCCUAGCGUUACUGAAGGAAGAUGUCCUCGUGGUCAGGUUUGCUGUACAUGGGGUCCCCUUGGUCCAGUAUAAAAUAUCAGGAAAUUUUUGAAGAGUCUGAAGAGUUCUGAAGAAGAUAUUGAAAUAAUGGUGGUUGGAUGGUGUGCAAGCAAUUCUCCUGAGAUACAAAUAUUUUGAUUGAAUAUAUGAUCUAGAAAAAAAUAACUG